UACACACCGCCCGUCACACCACGAAAGUCGGCAACACCCGAAGCCAGUGGCCCAACCCGCAAGGGGGCAGGUGCCGAAGGUAUGGCUGGUGAUUGGGAUG
This 100-nucleotide ribosomal RNA is filed under the name uncultured bacterium. RNAcentral's name for it is "partial 16S ribosomal RNA". The record is from RNAcentral.